GUCUACACCCAGACCACCCUGAUCACGCCCCAUCUCAUCUGGUCUCAGAAGUUAAAUAGGGCUGGGCCUGGUUAGUACUGGGAUGGGAGAAAGAGUCUGGUUGGAAUGAGAA
This is a non-coding RNA of Otolemur garnettii (small-eared galago), 112 nucleotides long. The record is from Rfam. Lineage: Eukaryota; Metazoa; Chordata; Mammalia; Primates; Galagidae.